GUCUGUGGCCAUGCUACCCUGAACAAGCCCGAUCCCAUCCUGAUCUUGGAAGCUAAGCAGGGUUGGGCCUGGUUAGUACUUGGAUGGGAGACCACCUAGGAAGACCAGGUGCUGUAGGCG
Non-coding RNA from Pteropus alecto (black flying fox), 120 nucleotides. The record is from Rfam. Lineage: Eukaryota; Metazoa; Chordata; Mammalia; Chiroptera; Pteropodidae.